RNAcentral lists this long non-coding RNA (1165 nucleotides) under Ananas comosus (pineapple). Its description in RNAcentral is "long non-coding RNA (ACOM_LNC012587)". The record is from RNAcentral. Lineage: Eukaryota; Viridiplantae; Streptophyta; Magnoliopsida; Poales; Bromeliaceae.
UUUCUUCUACGAAGCUACUUAUCCCUUAAAUUCUCUCCUUUUAAUUUUUAGGAUUAAUUUUAUACAGCUACUUAUAAACAUAUUGUAUAUUUCUACGAAGUUUAAUUUUUUAUAUUUAUUUAUGUAAAAGUUCAGUAAUAUUCAUAUUUAUUCAUCUGAUUUAUUAUCGUUAAAAUAUAAUUUAUUUUUUAAUAAAAAAUAAGUGAAAUGAUAUUUUUGCCAUCAUAAAUAUUUUUUUUUCAAAGGCUCUAAUUAUUAGAAUUAUACAGAAAAACGGUCAUCUUCCAUUUUUUUUAGCUACCAUCACAAAUAAUAUAAAAAGGGCAAAAAGGUCAAUUCACCCCAUUCACUAAUCAGGGUUGAGUAUUUUUUUACCUAUGGUUAACUAUAUUUUUUCUAGCGGGUUCUAAAAUCGGGGGUAUAUGUAAAAAUAUUAGAAAUUUUGAAGAAAUAAAUAUGAAAAGUUAAAUUCUAUAGAAAUAUAUUUGCUAUGGAGUUGUAUUCAAUCUAAUUUCUAUUUAAUAUGGGACUAAUAUUUUUAACAAUAGGGUAUGUGUUCUAUUUAAUUUGUUUUACUCGGUAUGGUUCAUAGGCUACUAGUUGUGAACCAGGUUCUUAGUCAACAUACACUUGAACAAGCCCAAGUCUCAAUAUUAAACCAUAUUAGCUAGUUCACAUCUCCUCUUUAUUUUUUAAUUAAUUUUUAUGGUAUUAUGUGUUAGUUAAUUCUACUAUGAGUGUACUAUGAAUCAGGAUAGAGAGAACCAUUAUUCAAAUUAAUUGAUUCCUUUCCUAUCUUAAUAAUUUUCAUUCAAAAUUUGGCUGACAUUCUGCUCUAAUACCAACUGCGAAGCCCCACUUUCCAGUGGAACAUCUAUUUUAAAGCUGCUCUAAUUCUAACAUGCUUAACUUUAUUUAUAUUGUGGACUUAACCACUAUCCAACAUAUUAUAGCUAGUUUAAGAACUUUCACAAGCACCAAACAAUGUUAGACUCAUCUUGCUAGUCUUAGCUGAGGAGCUGUACUCCACCCACGAUGACCAUCAACUGGAAAACCACGCUCUAUCCACUAUAUGAUUCUGACUCAGUCAAAAUUUAUCUCAUAAUUCCGACUGGUAUCCGUAAAUUACAUGAAUUAACACUACACUUGUCUUAAAUUCUCAAUA